GACGAACGCUGGCGGCGUGCUUAACACAUGCAAGUCGAACGGAAAGGCCCUGCUUUUGUGGGGUGCUCGAGUGGCGAACGGGUGAGUAACACGUGAGUAACCUGCCCUUGACUUUGGGAUAACUUCAGGAAACUGGGGCUAAUACCGGAUAGGAGCUCCUGCUGCAUGGUGGGGGUUGGAAAGUUUCGGCGGUUGGGGAUGGACUCGCGGCUUAUCAGCUUGUUGGUGGGGUAGUGGCUUACCAAGGCUUUGACGGGUAGCCGGCCUGAGAGGGUGACCGGCCACAUUGGGACUGAGAUACGGCCCAGACUCCUACGGGAGGCAGCAGUGGGGAAUAUUGCACAAUGGGCGGAAGCCUGAUGCAGCAACGCCGCGUGCGGGAUGACGGCCUUCGGGUUGUAAACCGCUUUCGCCUGUGACGAAGCGUGAGUGACGGUAAUGGGUAAAGAAGCACCGGCUAACUACGUGCCAGCAGCCGCGGUGAUACGUAGGGUGCGAGCGUUGUCCGGAUUUAUUGGGCGUAAAGGGCUCGUAGGUGGUUGAUCGCGUCGGAAGUGUAAUCUUGGGGCUUAACCCUGAGCGUGCUUUCGAUACGGGUUGACUUGAGGAAGGUAGGGGAGAAUGGAAUUCCUGGUGGAGCGGUGGAAUGCGCAGAUAUCAGGAGGAACACCAGUGGCGAAGGCGGUUCUCUGGGCCUUUCCUGACGCUGAGGAGCGAAAGCGUGGGGAGCGAACAGGCUUAGAUACCCUGGUAGUCCACGCUGUAAACGGUGGGUACUAGGUGUGGGGUCCAUUCCACGGGUUCCGUGCCGUAGCUAACGCUUUAAGUACCCCGCCUGGGGAGUACGGCCGCAAGGCUAAAACUCAAAGGAAUUGACGGGGCCCCGCACAAGCGGCGGAGCAUGCGGAUUAAUUCGAUGCAACGCGUAGAACCUUACCUGGGUUUGACAUGGAUCGGGAGUGCUCAGAGAUGGGUGUGCCUCUUUUGGGGUCGGUUCACAGGUGGUGCAUGGCUGUCGUCAGCUCGUGUCGUGAGAUGUUGGGUUAAGUCCCGCAACGAGCGCAACCCUUGUUCACUGUUGCCAGCACGUUAUGGUGGGGACUCAGUGGAGACCGCCGGGGUCAACUCGGAGGAAGGUGGGGAUGACGUCAAGUCAUCAUGCCCCUUAUGUCCAGGGCUUCACGCAUGCUACAAUGGCUGGUACAGAGAGUGGCGAGCCUGUGAGGGUGAGCGAAUCUCGGAAAGCCGGUCUCAGUUCGGAUUGGGGUCUGCAACUCGACCUCAUGAAGUCGGAGUCGCUAGUAGUCGCAGAUCAGCAACGCUGCGGUGAAUACGUUCCCGGGGCUUGUACACACCGCCCGUCAAGUCAUGAAAGUUGGUAACACCCGAAGCCGGUGGCCUAACCGUUGUGGGGGAGCCGUCGAAGGUGGGACUGGUG
This 1438-nucleotide ribosomal RNA is filed under the name uncultured organism. Its description in RNAcentral is "16S ribosomal RNA". It matches the Rfam family "Bacterial small subunit ribosomal RNA". The record is from RNAcentral.